This 9618-nucleotide long non-coding RNA is filed under the name Phoenix dactylifera (date palm). RNAcentral describes it as "long non-coding RNA (PDAC_LNC006323)". The record is from RNAcentral. Lineage: Eukaryota; Viridiplantae; Streptophyta; Magnoliopsida; Arecales; Arecaceae.
GAUUUGAACUCUUAACCUGACGAAAACGUCAGGCAUAAAUGGAGGGAGUAUAUAAAGACCCGUGCGGAUGUGUGUUUAGUUCCAUAAUCAGUUAUUUGUCGAGAAGAUCUUAGGCACUUAUACAGGAUUAAAGAACCCAAAUAAUACCUUUCGGUUAGCCAUUUUGGGCGAAAUCCUAGGUUGUCACAAUAACAAAGUUGGGAGCACAUCGGUAGUAACAUAGUGAAAGAAUUGUGCAUGCCAAACACUUGUUCGAGCUACAGUAUAUAGAAGAUUACAAGUUAUGAACUCAUGGUCUGUUAUAUUCGACUUGGUUGAGGCGAAUUUUGUAUUAACUAUUUGGAAAUAUGAAUCUAUGCCGCAAAAUAUUUUUCCCAAUUUCAAAUGAAGCUAUUGGAGAUGGACAUUUCUAGGACACAUAUGUUUAUCUGAGACUGAAGAGUUACCCAUGUUUCUUCUCACGUGCAUUCAUGCACCCAAUGCCAGUGCGAGUGAUUAGGGGCAUGGCCUCCUUUUGACACUUGAAAGAUGCUUCAUUAAAAUGAUAGCAAGAGAUAUGCUUUCGUAUUUAAAGCUCGGGCCUACCAUCUAUACUAAUCCAUUCAUACUACUUCCUGUCACGAUCCGGACCCGGAUCCGUGACACGGCCGCCCUAUUGCCGACUACUGCUCACAAUAGCACGAAGCCUCAUAUACGAAUAACAAGGUAGUCAAGUUUCAUAUAUAUAACAUUACCAGUAUAACUUACUGGGCGAUCAAAAGUACAGAGCUUCUAUAAUAUUUUAUGUAUACAAAAGUAUAUUUAUCCAAAAAUGAAACCCUGAUGCAGAAAGUGUCUCUUGCCGCUAUCACUAAUGGUAGUCUGAAAAAAAUAUGAAUAAAUUGGUAUGAGUUACACGGUUUAGUAAGUAAUCAUGCAUAAUUUUACUGGAUCAAGUGUAAUACUAAACAUUUUUAAGUAGGAUUUGAGAAGCUAACAUGUGCAUCAAAUAACAACUUUUCAUAAUAAAAUAUUCAUACUAAGCCGGUAAAUCGGUGUAUACAGCAACAUAUCUUUUCAUGAGAAUGCAUCGUAAAACUUUAUGCCGGUAAUUUAUGCUUAAAAUCUACAUUCUUAAAUUUUUAGCUACAACCGUACUUAACUCUCACGAUAAGGAUCGUUAUGCCUAGAUAUUCUUACCCAUUGGCGGGGCCCAUAUGCUCAGUUAUUCUUACCCACUGGCGGAGGCCAUCCAUAGCAUCUCAGAGUCCAUAAGUAGUACUUUUCACAAAUCAUACUCAUAAGUAGAGUGAAAACUCAUUGAUAGCAUCUUAAACAACUAAUCUUAUGUUCAUGCCACAAAUACUAUUUUUAAUGUAAUCAUAACAUUAUAAUUCAUGUAGUGCAUAAUUUAGAAUGCAUAAAUAACACUUUAUAAUUUCUAUAAACAAAGCAUUUUCAUGAUCUAUAAAACAAUAAGAUUAGGGCAGAUUACCUACACUAAUUUGUUCAAAAUUCCUUCAAAUUGGUUAAUCGGCUCUUUGAUCACCUAUCAUGUCAAAAAGGACACUUAUUUAGUAAGUAUCCCCUAAUUCUAAAUUAAUCCGUCAUUAAGACCCUACCCAGGGGUUUUGCUUGAAUUCGAGUCAUAUGGGAAACUUACAUUGAAAUCCUCUUAAAAUUUCUUGCUUAUUGGACUUUUAGGACGUAGGAUUUUUACUUAUUUUGCAAGCCUUUAGCCUAAUUUCAUGUAAUUUGAGUCACAAGGCUUCCGAGCUCAAUUUUAGGCUAGUCCCAGCUCAAUUUAACCCACUAUUGGAAUGCUUGAGCUUGGUUUAAAAUCAAAUCGAGCCCACAUAGACCAAUUUGGUCUUAAAUUACAGGACUGGGCCUGGUUCAGAAUUAGGUCUAGUCCUUUUUGCGUCAAAUUGGUCUUCUGAUUAGGUCAUCGGGCUCAGUCCAAGGUCUAAUUGGGUCUAAGUUUGGUCUAGGGUCAAAUAUGGGCCCAAAAGAGUAUUGGGCCCAGUUGAUUUUUGAGCCCAGGUAUUACAUUCUCCCCCCCUAAAUAAAUUUCGUCCUUGAAAUUAAUAUACCUCAGUCCUCGAAAAGCUGUGGAUAACUUCUGCGCAUCUCAUCUUCAAGUUUCUAGGUAGCCUCCCUUUUUGAGUGAUUGGUCCACUGGACUUUAACAUAAGGGAUGGUGUGCCUCCGAAAAAUCUGUUCUUUUCUAUCAACGAUAUGCAGAGAAACCUCUUCAUAAGUCAAAUCUUUAUUUAUUUGCGAAGGUUCGUAUCGUAUCACACAACAUGGCUAGGAUCUGAGAUGUAUCUCCGUGGAAGGGAGACAUGAAAGACAUCAUGUAUGCUUGACAACUUUGGGGGUAAGGCUAAUUUGUAAGCAACCUAGCCCACUCCGGCAAGAACCCCAAAUGGAUCAAUGUAACGAAGACUCAAAUUGCCGUGUCGUCCAAAUCUGGUGACACCUUUUGAGGAAGAGACUUUUAAAAAGACAAAGUUUUCCUCCAAAAAUUCUAAUUCCCUUCUUCCUCUGUUAGCCCAACUUUUUUGCCUAUCCUAGGCAACCUAAAGCCUUUGCUUGAUCAAAAGCACUUUGUCUUUGGCAUUCUGAACCAACUCAGGACCCAGUAACUUCUGUUCCCCGACAUCGUCUCAAUGCAGAGGUGAUCGGUAUUUUCUCCUUUAUAAAGCUUCAUAUGGGGCCAUCUGGAUGCUGGAGUAGUAACUGUUAUUGCAAGCAAACUCCACCAGAAAUAUGUGAUCAUCCCAGCACCCACCUAAGUCAACAGUGCAGGCUCUCAACAUGUCCUCCAGGGUCUGGAUCGUCCGCUUUGACUGACCAUCAGUCUGAGGGAGAUAGGAUGUACUGAGCCUCAAUUCAAUAUGCAUGGCUCUCUGAAAGCUUUCCUAGAAUCUAGAUACAAAUCGAGGGUCGCGAUCAAAUAUGAUGCUCAUUGGUACUCCAUGCAGGCGUACUAUUUUGUCGAUAUAUUUAUGAGCUAGUAUGUCCAAUGAAGUACCAACUCUGAAGGAUAGAAAGUGAGUUGACUUUGUAAGGCGAUCUAUAAUUACCCACACAACAUCAUUCUUUCUCACUAUUCUCGGGAGCCCUGUAACGAAGUCCAUAGUGAUGUGCUCCCACUUUCAUUCUGAAAUUUCUAGUGGUUCAAGUAACCCAGCGGGCCUUUGAUAUUCUUCUUUCACCUGCUGACAAGUCAAGCAUCGAGCCACAUAUUCAGCUAUCUCUCUUCAUACCAUUCCACCAGAAAUGUUCUCGUAAAUCUUUGUACAUUUUGGUACUGAUAGGGUGAACAAAAAAACGAGAUUGAUGAGCUCCUUCUAAGAUUUCUUUCUUGAGGUCACCAUCAGUUGGAACACAUAGCCGGCUACCAAAUGUCAGGGUACCAUUAGGGUGGAUCUGGAGUUUGGGUCACAACCCUUUCUCCACUUCAUCUCUAAGCUGACGUAUAUGUGCAUCUAACUGCUGAGCAACCUUUAUUCUGUCAAUCAGCGUUGGCCGCACUCUCAAAGUGGCCAGUAGACUCCUUGUAGUUUGUGUAACCACUUCAACCCGCAUUCUGUCAAGAUCCUUUUGAAUCUGUGGUUGAGUGGUGAGUAAUGCAGUGGAGCCCACUGCUGACUUUCUGCUCAGAGCAACAACCACAACAUUGGCCUUCCCUGGAUGGUACUUAAUGCUAAGGUCAUAGUCUCUUCAAUAGUUCCAGCCAUCUUCUCUGUCUCAUAUUUAACUUCUUUUGUGUGAAUAUGUAUUUCAGGCUCUUAUGAUCUGUAUAUACUUUACAGUGCUCACCAUAUAAAUAGUGUCUCCAAAUCUUUAGGACGAAGACCACUGCCGCUAGCUCCAAGUCAUGAGUCGGAUAAUUUUGCUCAUAAGGUUUCAGUUGUUUGGAGGAAUAGGCCACCACCUUGCCAUUUUGCAUGAGUACAUAGCCUAGCCCAUUCUUGGAAACAUUACUGUAAAUAGUGAAUUCUCGACUAGUGGAUGCCAAAGUUAGAAUUGGAGCAGAUACCAACCUCUAUUUCAGCUCCUGGAAUCUUUUCUCGCAAUUGUCGUACCAAAUAAACAGCUCGUUUCUUAGUUAAACGAGCCAAAAGGGUGGCGAUCCAGGAGAAUCCUUCCACAACCCGUCGGUAAUAAUCGGCCAGUCCCAAGAAGCUUCUAAUCUCUUUGAUGUUGGUCGGACGAGACCAAUCCACCAUCGCUUCUAUCUUCUUGGAAUCCACUGCCACUCCAUCCUUAGAGAUUACAUGCCCGAGAAAUGCCACAUUGCUUAGCCAGAAUUCACACUUGUUCAGCUUGGCAUACAACCUUUUCUCUCGGAGAGUCUGUAGUACUACUCUCAAGUGGUCUACAUGCUCCUCCUUGCUCCUUGAGUAGAUCAGUAUAUCAUCAAUGAAGACGAUCACAAAUUGAUCCAAAUUCUGCUUAAAGACUCUGUUCAUUAAGUCCAUGAAAGCAGCUGGAGCGUUGGUCAGUCGAAAAGGCAUAACCAAAAAUUCAUAGUGCCCGUACCUGGUUCGAAAUGCGGUCUUUGGUACGUCAUCAGCUUUUAUCUUCAAUUGGUGAUAUCCAGACCGCAAGUCUACCUUAGAGAAAACUUGAGCACCUUGCAGCUGAUCGAAUAGGUCGUUUAUCCAGGGCAGACGAUAUUUGUUCUUUAUUGUUACCUUGNNNNNNNNNNNNNNNNNAACACACAGCCACAUACUCCCAUCUUUUUUUUCACAAAUAGGACAGGAGGUCCCCACAUAGACACACUAGGCUGGAUAAACUUCUUGUCCAGGAGUUCCUGUAGCUGGAUCUUUAAAUCCCUCAGCUCGACAAAGGCCAUUCGAUAAGGAGCUUUGGAAAUAUGUCCUACUCUUGGCGCGAGAUCGAUGGUAAAUUCGACCUCUCGAUCAUGGGGUAAUUCCGGUAAUUCAUCUGAAAAAACAUCCGGAUAUUUCCUGACUACUAGUAUAUCUUCCAGUUUGGUCUCCUCUCGGGUAUCCGUUACACAUGCUAAAUAAGCCUUACACCCUUUCCUUAAUGCCUUUACGGCAUUCAAGGCAAAAAUUAAAUGUAAUGCUGAUUGACAUUGCAAGGGUGCUUCACCUUGGAAGAAGAACUCUGGUUCUUCAGGUAUCCGAAAUACCACUCUUUUACUGUAGAGUUAAUUUGAGAGUGGUACUGAGACAUCCAAUCCAUUUCCAAAAUAAUGUCAAAGUCUUGCAUGUCAAGUUGUAUAAGAUUUAUCACUAGCUCUCUUACCCCUAUACGAAUUAUACAAUUCUUGUAUAUAGUGUCAACAAUUAUUAUUUUCUGAAGGGGUGUAGCAACAUGCAGUGGUUCUUCUAGUUUCUCAGGUGUGCAGUGUAAUUGUCUUAAAAAACUAACUGAAACAAAAAAAAUGUGUAAAGCCAGAAUCAAACAAAAUAGAAGCAUCAAUCGAGUUGACUGGUAGUGUACCUGUCACCACCCGGUCGCUAGCAUUGGCAUCCUGAUGGGUCAGUGCAAAGACUCGAGGAUUGUUCCUUGGCCUCUGGUCCCUAGGUACAAGAGGUCGGAGCUCAUUCCUCCUCUUAUUCAGGCAGUCGCGUGCCAAGUGUCCAGUCUGCCCGCAACUAAAACAUGCCCCUACUCUCCUUAGACAAGGCCCACUAUGGGAUUUGCCACAGCAGGCACAGACCCUAAACUGCUUCUUCUGAAUCAGCGUGCUCCUGAAAUUUCUUGGCUUGCCACUCUGUCUCCCAGCUGGUCUAGGUCUCUUCAGGUCAGCCCUUUCCCUAUCAUAUCUUCUCAAUUCAGCCUCCACUUUCAGGGCUCUGUCCAAAAUAUCCCGGUAACUGGUGAAUAAAUGUGAGGAUGUCCGGGACCUGAUCCCAUAUCUCAGCCCUUGUUCGAACUGGUUAGCCUUACUCCUCUCGUCCUCCAUGAACUGAGGGCAGAAUCGGCCUAGCUCAUUGAACUUGUUGGCAUAAUCCAGAACAGUCAUAUGUUCGGACUGAGUCAGCGAUAAAAACUCAUUCUGCUUUGUCUGCUUGACUGAGUCCGGAAAGUACCGAGUAUAAAAUAACCCUUUAAACUCUCUCCAGGUCAUUCUAUUGACCUCAUAUGCUAUCUCCAUGGAGGACCACCAAAACUCCGCAUUUCCCCUCAACAUAGGAAUAGCUAGUCUAACUUUUACUUCUUCGGGAAAUUCGAGUGCCUGAUACAUCUUCUCCAUUUCCCAAAUCCAAGUCUCAGCGGUCAAGGGGUCUGAUCCACCGUCAAACAUCGGUGGGUUCAGCCUACGAAACCUCUCGUAAUAGGAAACCAUCGGCUGUACAGGUUGGGCAGUCAACUGUAUCUGUUGCUGUUGCUGAAGCAACUGUGCCAUUAACUGGUACACUCCUGUCAGGUCUGCCUGGGUUGCUACGGAGUGUGGAGUAGUUUAUGUAGUUAAUUGGCUGCUAGGGUCUGGAGAAGGCGCUCUCAUUUCUCUUUCAUCCUCCAUAUUGUUUGCGACUACCUAGCAGUCAAGAAUUUAAAAUGAGAUUAACAUAAAUUAUUUUCUUCAAGUAAUAUAUUUAUAACAAUCUUAACUACCCAUUAUCCAAAAUUUUUAAGGUUAUAAUCUUGUUUAACCUAGAGCUCUGAUACCACCAAAUAUCACGACUUAAACCCGAAUCUGUGACACGGUCGCGCUAUUAUCGACUACUGCUCACAAUAGCACAAAGCCUCAUAUACGAAUAACCGGGUAGUCAAGUUUCAUAUGUAUAACAUUACUAGUAUAACUUACUGGGUAAUCAAAAGUACAAAAUUUCUAUAACAUUUUAUGUAGACAAAAGUAUAUUUAUCCAAAAAUAAAACUCUGGUGCAAAAAGUGUCUCUUGCCACUAUCACUGACGGUGGCCUGAAAGAAAAUAUGAAUAAAUUGGUAUGAGCUACACGGCUCAGUAAGUAUUCAUAUAUAAUCUUACCGGAUCAAGUGUAAUACUAAACAUUUUUAAGUAAGAUUUGAGAAGCUAACAUGUGCAUUAAAUAACAACUUUUCAUAAUAAAAUAUUCAUACUGAGCCCGUAAAUCGGUGUAUGUACUAACAUAUCUUUUCAUGAGAAUGCAUCGUAAAACUAUAUGCCGGUAAUUCAGGUUUAAAAUCUACACUCUUAUAUUUUUAGCUACGGCCGUACUUAACUCCUACGACAAGAAUCGUUAUGCCUAGUUAUUCUUACCCACUGGCGGGGGCCAUCCAUAGCAUCUGAGAGCCCAUAACUAGUACUUUUUUACAAAUCAUACUCAUAAGUAGAGUGAAAACUCAUUAAUAGCAUCUUAAACAACUAAUCUUAUGUUCAUGCCAUAAAUACUAUUUUUAAUAUAAUCAUAACAUUAUAAUUCAUGAAGUGCAUAAUUUAGAAUGCAUAAAUAACACUUUAUAAUUUCUAUAAGCAAAGCAUUUUCAUGAUCUAUAAAACAAUAAGAUUAGGGCAGAUUACUUACACUUUAAUUCGUUCAAAAUUCCUUUAAGCUGGUUAAUCGGCUCUUUGAUCACCUAUCAUGUCAAAAAGGACACUUAUUUAGUAAGUAUCUCCAUAUUCCUAUAAUUAAUCAGUCAUUAAGACCCUACCUAGGGGUUUUGCUUGAAUUCGAGUCGUAUGGGGAACUUAGAUUGAAAUCCUCUUAAAAUUUCUUGCUUAUUGGACUUUUAGGACGUAGGGUUUUUGUUUAUUUUGCAAGCCCUUAGCCUAAUUUCAUAUAAUUUGAGUCACAAGGCUUCCGAGCUCAAUUUUAGGCUAGUCCCAGCUCAACUUAACCCGCUAUUAGAAUGCUUAAGCUUGGUUUAAAAUCAAAUCGAGCCCACAUAGACCAAUUUGGUCUCUAAUUACAGGAUUGGGCUUGGUUCAGGAUUAGGUCUAGUCCUUUCUAGAUCAAAUUGGUCUUCUGAUUGGGUCAUUGGGCUCAGUCUAAGGUCUAAUUGGGUCUAACUUUGGUUCAGGGUUAAUUUAAAUUAUUUGGGCUUGAAUCAGGGCCGACCCGCGACUAAUUUGGUCUCUAAACAGUUGAUUUGGGCUUGGAUUAGGGCCGUAAACAGUUGAUUUGGGCUUGGAUUAGGGCCGGCCCGAGUCCACUAAAUCCAAUUUGAUCCAUUAUUUUAAAAUAUUUUGGGCUCGGCCCAAAGCCAGCUCGAGUCCAAUCAGUGCACAGUCUAAUUUAAUUGGGUUCAGACCCAAUUAAACGUUUACUCAACCUAAUUAAAUUUUAUUUAGCUUAAUUAAUUUAAAUCCCAAUCUGAUUAAACUCAAUUGAAUUUAGAUCAAAUCCAACCCGAACUAAUCCAAAUCUAUUUAAUUUCUUUAAAUCGGAUUGGAUUGGUUCGAAUUUGAAUGCAACCCGUUAACCCAAACCCAACCCGUUAACCCACUCCCUACUCCUCCUCCUCCCCCUCCAGAAGCCUCUCCCGAACCCUCUUUCCACCAAGGUGGUAGCCUAGUGGUACUGGGCAGCAAUUCUAACCACAAGGUCCUAAGUUCGAAUCGUUGCGGCGACGAUUAAAUUGUGGACCGGAGCUCACUACUUUGGCCACUGCUUGGACUUGUGGUGUAGGACCGCUCUUGAACCGCUAGUAGCCGGGGUGGUGCCGGGUGUGACGUACUCACACGUGGAACUCGAGCCAGAGCUCAGAGGAGUAGCUGAGCCGGGCCUAUGGGUGGGGAGGGUAUGAGUAAAACCGGUCGGGGUGCCCAACACACGGCCAUUUCUGCCCGCAUCGAACAUUCUCCUGGCAGGGCGGGGGCCCAGUGGGGCUGCUACGCGGGGGUGGGCUUGUCCCUUCCUCCCCCUACCCUUUCUUUAGCGNNNNNNNNNNNNNNNNNNNNNNNNNNNNNNNNNNNNNNNNNNNNNNNNNNNNNNNNNNNNNNNNNNNNNNNNNNNNNNNNNNNNNNNNNNNNNNNNNNNNNNNNNNNNNNNNNNNNNNNNNNNNNNNNNNNNNNNNNNNNNNNNNNNNNNNNNNNNNNNNNNNNNNNNNNNNNNNNNNNNUGAGUCCUUCUUCUUCUUUCUUGUUUUUUUUUUCUUUCUUCGAACUGGAGGAGGCCGAUCCUGGGGGUCAGGCCACGGCCGGCGGCGUCCGCGGCUGACUCCUGCGGCCGUGUCCGUGGCCGUGCUCGCGGCCGGCCUGCGGCCUAUACCUGCGGCCGAGCCGAGGCCGGCGGCGUUCACGCCGUCGGCGACGUCCCCGGCUGCGCAUGGGUAACCCCCUCCCCCUUCUUCAGUUCUUCCCCUCCCUCUUCUUCUUCUUUUCUUUUCUUUCUUUCUUUCUUUCUUUCUUUCUUUCUUUCUUUCUUUUAAUUCACAUACUAAACAAAUUGAGAGGAGGUAGCCGGAAGGGAUUUACCUUGAUUCCGAAAGAGGUUGCAGUGUCCCGUGCUCCGGUGCCUCCACUCCAACACCUCCUUUGCCGGUUCACAGGUUCCUAAGGUCCUGAGGGAGAACCAGAUACGGUAGAGAGGUUUAAUUAGGCAUUCUUAAGCGGUGUAACCCUUUAGCUAGGGCGAGGUGUCACCCUCAGCUUCCCCCACGUGAAGGGCGCCCGCCCUCCUCUGAUUCCCAUCUGGCCCUAGUCACCUCCAUCCCGAGAACAUGACGUGG